Molecule: non-coding RNA, 562 nt
Filed under: Pan troglodytes (chimpanzee)
Lineage: Eukaryota; Metazoa; Chordata; Mammalia; Primates; Hominidae
Source: RNAcentral
ACAGACAGAACAGGCAGUGGAGAAUGAGCUGUUUCUCCCCAACCACAUGCAUCUGCAAGAGUGAGGAGUGGAACAGGCAGAGUCAGAGAACAGCAGGGUUGAGGUUUUCCAAGGAGGUACAUGCAGCAGAAUAUGCAAGAGAUUCGGAGUGUGUCCAGAGGAAUUUAUUCUAACAAUUGACCAUGGAAGGUGACCAGAUGGGUGUGAAGAUAGUGUCUUGCAAUGUCGCCCAGGCUGGAGUGCAGUGGUGCCCCUCCUGUUGUGAAUGGACAGAGUCCUGAGCAAGGAAACCUAGAAGGGAGAGAGGAAUAACCAUGGAAUUGAGUCCUGUCUGGUAGCACUGACAGACACAGUGGCCAGCCACCCUCAUGCCACCCUGUCCUGCCAUGGGAAGGAACAGCAGCUCUAGAGUUCCUAUGGGAACUCUCUUUCCUUCUCACUGAACUCUAGCUUCAUCAAUAACUCAGUGCCUCUGGCCAAGUUUUUAGCCUCUGGGACAACAUCCACUAUAUCCAUAUGAGGCACUCAUGUAACACGGUGAUUAAGAGUACAGAUGCUGGAG